CUUCGUCUCUCUUCGCUCGACUUCCAGAACCCUUUUUGCGGCUUGAGUAGCCCCUCAAGCCAUUCCGCUGCAGCCUCUCUUACUCGAUGGAGCUCUAGCCCCAGCGCUCUCCUUCCGCAGCCAUUCCUCUGUGUAUCAUGUUCGUGUGCGGUGCCGAGUUAUAGCUCAAGGCUUGCGGGAGGCCAAUACUACGAUCUCGCCAUCAUGCGCACCAUCCUCAACUUCGCCUUCUACAAGCCGACCGACGAACUCAAGUUAUGUGCCUUUCCUCACCGGUCCAUGUGCCCAGUGCUCCUGUAGAAGAUCGGUAGGUGCCAUGCUAGAAAAGCCUCUACACACCCAAAAACCCGCCAUCAGUGCUGAGCCGCCGACGGGAGUCCAUCCCUCUUCCUCCCCUGAAACGUCGUCGCCCGCCACCCUUCUCCCCCAGUAGUGUCGCGAUGCUGGCUCAAGACACCGCCUUUCCUUUCUUGAACGAAGUCAAGAUGCUGCAUGUGUUGAGGAUAUACUCCAUAUGAUUAUCCGUGUCCUUUCACAGAACUCGCUUGUACCAUCUUUCUUGGAGUAGGUUUUACAGAAACGUUCCCGAUCUGAUGCUUUAAAAGAUGGGCGCAAAGGCUCCUUUCCCGAUCUGAUGCUUCUUUUCUUUUCCCCUUUUUAUUUUAUCCUUCUUCUUUUAUAGUUCCCUUAGAUCAGGUUCCACAUAAAAAAAUACCAGAAAAGAAAUAUGCAAACAACUCAUUAGCAAACAAAGGUGAGAUUUCAAGAAUCAAAUUGUACACUUUCUCAAGGCUUCAGCUCCAAUAUGUCUUGUAAAUUCAGUGUAUUAACGAUACAUAAAGGAUUGGAUUUUGUGUUUUGAAUCCUUCGUGGCAGCUUUGUUUUUGGAACAACGCUGGGCAGUACCUCUACUCCUUAAGGACUACACCAACGAGGUUCACAACUCAGACUACAAAGUCAUUCCAGUUCUCUCUGUUCUAACAAAUUAUGGAACACAUAAUUAUGCACAAGAAUUGCUUACGCAAGAUGAUGCAUUUAGCCUUCCAAGUACACAAGAUUCUCCAGCAAUAUCGUUUGGUAUAUAUUCUCCACGUGCACCAAUCAAAAAACUGGACGACGCGACAAACUCGCAUAUUCCCACAUGCUACGCGAUACUGAGCUUGAUCACAGGAUCAUGAACUCUGCACGUCAACAUGACAAGGACAGACUGCCCUCGCCACCCUAAGAUCAGGACUAGCCAACUUCGCAUACUCUAAUCUGAUUCUAUAUAAUCUGGUGACCAUGGCAGUUAUAUUAUAUCGUAAGUUGCACCGAGGCUUGCAAAGGUCGUCCACGUUGCUAGAACGAGUUUGCUUUUGUGUAUAGAGGACCAAACUGAUAAAGGCCAUCCAAUUUCGUAUAUGUUUCUACCACCCAUAUCAGUAAGCUCUAUCUUAUGUUUAAUGGAGACUAUGUGUCUUAUCGUGUAAGUUUGCUCUACAACUAAACUGUAACGGUGAUAGUCAUCAUGGUAGACUCAUCUUAGGUUUGUACUGUGAUGUAUACUAUAAUAUUUAUCUGCUUCACAACCAA
Long non-coding RNA from Zea mays, 1572 nucleotides. RefSeq lists it as uncharacterized. The transcript has 7 exons. The record is from RefSeq and is a predicted model, not a curated record. Lineage: Eukaryota; Viridiplantae; Streptophyta; Magnoliopsida; Poales; Poaceae.